AGAGUUUGAUCCUGGCUCAGAUUGAACGCUGGCGGCAUGCUUUACACAUGCAAGUCGAGCGGCAGCGCGGGGGCAACCCUGGCGGCGAGCGGCGAACGGGUGAGUAAUGCAUCGGAACGUACCCUGGAGUGGGGGAUAACGCCGCGAAAGCGGCGCUAAUACCGCAUAUGCUCUGAGGAGGAAAGUGGGGGACCUGCAAGGGCCUCACGCUCUGGGAGCGGCCGAUGUCCGAUUAGCUAGUUGGUGGGGUAAAGGCUUACCAAGGCGACGAUCGGUAGCUGGUCUGAGAGGAUGAUCAGCCACACUGGGACUGAGACACGGCCCAGACUCCUACGGGAGGCAGCAGUGGGGAAUUUUGGACAAUGGGGGCAACCCUGAUCCAGCCAUGCCGCGUGAGUGAAGAAGGCCUUCGGGUUGUAAAGCUCUUUUGGUCGGGAAGAAAGUGCCUUGCCUAACAGGUGGGGUAUUUGACGGUACCGGCAGAAUAAGCACCGGCUAACUACGUGCCAGCAGCCGCGGUAAUACGUAGGGUGCGAGCGUUAAUCGGAAUUACUGGGCGUAAAGCGUGCGCAGGCGGUUCGUUAAGUCUGAUGUGAAAGCUCUGGGCUCAACCUGGGAAUGGCAUUGGAAACUGGCGGGCUGGAGUAUGGCAGAGGGGGGUGGAAUUCCACGUGUAGCAGUGAAAUGCGUAGAGAUGUGGAGGAACAUCGAUGGCGAAGGCAGCUCUCUGGGUCAAUACUGACGCUCAGGCACGAAAGCGUGGGGAGCAAACAGGAUUAGAUACUCUGGCUAGUCCACGCUCUAAACGAUGAUCACUGGGUGUUGGGGAAGCGAUUUCUUUGGUACCGUAGCUAACGCGUGAAGUGAUCCGCCUGGGGAGUACGGUCGCAAGAUUAAACUCAAAGGAUUG
Molecule: ribosomal RNA, 910 nt
Filed under: uncultured bacterium
Lineage: Bacteria
Description: bacterial SSU rRNA
Rfam family: Bacterial small subunit ribosomal RNA
Source: RNAcentral